This 184-nucleotide long non-coding RNA is filed under the name Pan troglodytes (chimpanzee). RNAcentral's name for it is "lincRNA". Lineage: Eukaryota; Metazoa; Chordata; Mammalia; Primates; Hominidae. The record is from RNAcentral.
CUCUCUUUGCCAGCUGCCAUCCAAGUAAUUUGGGAUUUGCUUUUCCUUACCCUCCUCCAUGAUUGUGAGGCUUCCACAGCCACGUAGAACUAUCAACCCUGAGGAUUGGGAAGGAACUAUACAUACCAGGAGGCAAGGAGCACUGGGGGCCCUCCUGGGACUGCCUGUCACAGCGUCCUCAAAG